This 4257-nucleotide long non-coding RNA is filed under the name Triticum aestivum (bread wheat). Its description in RNAcentral is "long non-coding RNA (TAES_LNC001325)". The record is from RNAcentral. Lineage: Eukaryota; Viridiplantae; Streptophyta; Magnoliopsida; Poales; Poaceae.
GUUUUUUUUUUCAUGUUCUUUGUUGGUAUAUUUUAGUUUUUCCUUUUCUUUUCUUUAAAAACUUUUUUUGUUGGAUUUUUAUAAAAAUGCUUGUGUUUUCAUGGAAUUUUUUCGUAAGUUUAAAAAAUCUUUGCCUUCCGCAAAAAUGUUCAAACAUUUUCAAAAAAUAUUCAUGUUUUCAAAAGGUUUUGGAAAAUUGGAAAAUGUUCGUAUUUAUAAAAUUAUAAUAUUUUAAAAACAUUUGCACUUUAGAAAAAUUCAUGUUUAUGAGGAAUGGUUGCAAAUUUGAAAACAAAUUGACGAUUUCAGAAAAAUGUUUGUGAAUUAGGAAAAUGUUCAUAUUUUCAUAAAAUUUUCGAAAUUUUGUAUAAAAGUUAUCAUAUUUUUUUGAAAUGCUGGUGCUUUAAUUUUUUGCAGAUUUGUAAAAAGUGUUUGUGUUUAAAAAAAAAUCAUUUUUUUCUGAAAAACGUCUGUGCUUUCAGAAAAUGUUCACAAAUAGAUAAAAACUAAUCCACAAAAUCUUCAACCUUUUGAACAUAAUAAUUCUUGAUCUUUCAAAAACUAAAUGAAAUUCAUAAGUUACUAAAACAACGAAUGUGCGGGACGCCGACACUUCUACACUUAAUGUGUCAUAUAGGAUGUUCUCAAAUAGGAAGCGCCCAAACCAAUAUUCAUUGGCCCUCUUCCUUCCAUGACCCAGUUUGACAAAACUAUGAGAUGGAAAUCCGAAAAACAACCCAUCUUUGUUGUAAUUGCUCCCAGAAAAUGCAUGCUCCACUUGGAUGACGUAUAUAAUGAAACACUUGUUAACUAAUCAGUUCAUAUAUUUCUGAAUAACAUCUUCUUCUAUGUGUAGCCAAUACUAUCACAUGUACGCCGUUGUUAGAGUUUGUGAGUAAAAAAUAUACUGCAACAUGGAUGGACAAAUUACGGGCGGUGCCCAUUAUGCAAUCGAGCUCCUGAGACGGUUGCAGACCUUAUUUUGCAAUGUCGCUACUCCAUUCAACUUUGGCGCAUGGUAAAAGAUUGGCUUGGAAUGCACCUUCUUGAGCUCUCCACAUAGAGCAACUUCAGUGACGUUUAACCUUGAUGGAAUCAUCUUCUCCAUCAUGCCCAUGAUAGCCACAAAAGCCGCGGGCUCUCUUACCAUGUUAGUUUGGUGGGAGAUCUGGAACGAGAGAAAUUCACAUGUUUUCACCAACAACAAAGCAUCAACUUGCGUCAUUGUCCUAUCAAGAAUUCGAAACGCAGCCAACCGUUGCGUCUUCGCGGGGGCUAAGCAUUUGGAUAUUUGUAUGUCGGAAAAGUAGGCUUUUGUAUGAUAGGGUUACAAUCUUGAGACAAGAGUGUCUCACAGAAAAGAUGACCUGAAUGCAUCCAUACUGUAGCACAUGCUUCAUUACGGCUGUAGUUUGCCAAUUUAUGUGCUACUUAUUUUGAUACCUACUAACUUUUCGAGGAACAAACUCUUUAACUUUCAUGAGAGAUUUAAUCUCAUAAGCUAGAUGACCGCCAACCUGAAAAGAGUCUCGCCCAAGAGGAUGGGCAACACAGUCGAUGAAUCUGCUUGAACAAUCACGGACCCAUCCGUAUGCUUAAUGGCCAGUCUUUUGCCAAAUUUUUUUAAAGCAUACACAACGUUGUCACAUGUGUUUUACUACCAUUGCCUAAAAAAUAAGUGUUUUACUACCAAGUCCUAGUACUUGUUUAUUUUCACCAACCACGUCUCUAAUGUAUUUUGCACUCCUAGUACCUAAGUUUGGAACAAAGCACCUAUAAAAAAGGUAUGAACUAGCCAUCACCGCCACAAAAGCAGCCACUAUAUGGUAUCCCUUGAUUCUGGAGGCAUGGGUUCGGUAUAAGCGUGCUCAAUCUCCCCACCAUCAUUUACAUAAAAUUACUUUAUAACUGAAAGGCCAGCGAUCAAUCAUGAAUUAGCGGAUAAUAAUCAAAGCACUUGCUACUAGUACUCCCUCCAUUCUAACUUUGACCACAAAUUUAACCAACGAGACCAACUGCGGUGGGAAAAAAAAUUAUAUAAUUGAAAACUUCUUUCGAAUACGAAUUCACUGAUAUAAUUUUCGCUUCCGCCGCAAUCGGUCUUGGUAUUUAAAUUUACGGUUAAAAUUAAAGCACGUGGAUAGAGAAAGCACUACAUUGUGGAAUGAAGGGAGUACAAGAUAACAUAACAUAUUCACGCAACUUGCCCUAGGUAGCGUCAAAAUAGCUGCCCUCGGGUCCUUCCGACCUGCUUCUUUGUUUCCCUGCCGCCUGCAUGGGCUCACGAACGGCAGUGCGCUGGACGAAUUCUAGUCGUCGCCAGAACCCGCGCGGCCGCCACGGCAGCAAUUCCCCGUCACUCCGAUGGCUCCCCAAUGGUUAAAAACGUACGUAGCGUAUGGUCCGCAUGAGCACCGGCUCCUAAUCUAAUCAAUCAAUGGAGCGCCGUGACAGGGAAGUGGGAACGGAGGCCUCCCUCAGGUGGCCCGUUUCCGAUUAACAAGCGUUAUCCGGCGAGAAAAUUUGGCUCCGGCCAGUGGCGAGGGGAUACGUGAGAGGCCGUCUCGCGCGAGCUGCCACAAGGGGAAAACGGCUGGGCGAUGCGAGGUGGAAGACGGAAUAUACUUCUGAAUCUUUCGUUAAACUACUAUCCGAGGUCUUUUGGUUGCCUUGCCGUCUUACCGUGAGAUUCAGAGAGUUUGAGGAAUGUUGUGCCUUAUCUGCAUGCAUGGGGAAUAAAGCACGAGCCGGUAUGAUACCAUUGUUUUCAACCUUUGUUUCAGGACAUAGAUGGGGUGGGUGGUCAAUGCGCUCUACUUACUUCAUUACUUGCGUGUGCGGCAUGGAAAAUUUUACAUAUGGAUAAGCAUCUCCGCCUUAGGAAAAUAUAAAUAGCAUGGCACUAGCAGAUGACUAGAUGUACAUGGUGCUAUGGAAAGUAACAACCAGAUAGUAAAAGCUAAUAGUAAUCUACACACACGAGACAUGGCCAAGGGCUUCGUUUAUUCCUUUCAAUUAUUAAUAUUUCUCUCAAGGAAGGACUCUGCCGGCUGGUAAAAGCAAAAGUUAAAACACUCGAUGUACUACUGUACAUUUCAAAGCAGAAUAGUAGUACUCCGCCAAUUAAGUCGGGAAAACUACAGAGCCGUAGAAAACCACCACACUCAGAUCCACCAAUCCAGCUAAAGCUCAACAUGCGUGAGGUCCUGCCAGCGCCUUGACUUUUUGUUGAACCAUCAUCCAUCCGUCCGUCUUAUCGUGAUUCUUGACGAUGGAUCUGCUACAGUGAAUCAAUAAUUAGAGCUGUCCUCUGGCUGUGGCUCCAGGGGACCUGCACUGCACUGAAGUGCACCCAUCCAUCCAUUAAUUGAUCCCACUCCGAGCCGCCAAAUGGGCCAUUUUUUGUUUGAUCCGUGACAUGGAUGUUCCUGGACUUGUUGAUGUGCAUGGCAAUAUCAGGAUGCCUUGGUGGCCGGACAAGAUUCUACAUGGACAAAAAGCCUCUUGGCCAAUCUGAAGAAAACUUCAGCCGGAUGAAAAGGCUGUCACCCAUCCGCUACCUGAACUGAAAGCUAAACGCCAUCCACAACUUGCCUGCUUUUGGCCAAUUAUUAAAUGCCCGGGUUCCAUAUUCUUCUCUCGUCCGUCCUUUAUGUGUUUUUCUGGCUAUUUCCCCUUCUUCUGAAUGGACUAAUUAUGUUCUUGGAGCAGGUGUUCCUACUUGUGAUUUUCUCGUCCCUUUCUUUACUUCUUUUUUCUUGAAUUCGACAAUCUUCUCGUGUAUGGCUGAACAUUUCUGCAUACAGACCCUUGAGUACAAUAGUAAAACAUGAUAAGAUGAAUUAAUGGUUCCAUUAAAGAAUCUAUUUUCGCUGUUUUACAUCUUUGUUCCAGACUUUCAGUCCGUCGAUCUCAGUCUGAUCAAGCCCUUCCUAGCACGGUCGUAAGCUUCAAGUACAUGAUUGUACUGCAUGCCUAGGAGACAAAAAUAUUGUGUACACACUACAAACCAUAUCUACUAGUAUGAUCCAUGGACCUAGCUACUCGUUCGAUACACACACCUGACGCAAGUAAAAGUACAAUCCCUUUUCCUAUAUAUAUUGACCAAUAAUUUGUCUAAUUUAGACCUAUCUUGUGCAAUAGACCCCCAUAAUUGUUCUUCAAAUCACCAGUUCGCCGGUCGUAUAUAAUUCAAACUGAUGGGGUUCAAGUAGUAUAGUGUGUAUCCACCGUCAGUUCAUCCGAUCCCCAUGUUAG